RNAcentral lists this ribosomal RNA (253 nucleotides) under uncultured bacterium. Its description in RNAcentral is "partial 16S ribosomal RNA". It matches the Rfam family "Bacterial small subunit ribosomal RNA", at positions 524 to 776 of the family's 1533-position model. The record is from RNAcentral.
UACGUAGGGAGCUAGCGUUGUCCGGAAUCAUUGGGCGUAAAGCGCGCGUAGGCGGCCCGGUAAGUCCGCUGUGAAAGUCAAAGGCUCAACCUUUGAAUGUCAGCGGAUACUGCCGGGCUAGAGUCCGGAAGAGGCGAGUGGAAUUCCCGGUGUAGCGGUGAAAUGCGCAGAUAUCGGGAGGAACACCUAUGGCGAAGGCAGCUCGCUGGGACGUUACUGACGCUGAGACGCGAAAGCGUGGGGAGCAAACAGG